RNAcentral lists this transfer RNA (75 nucleotides) under Tissierellia bacterium. Its description in RNAcentral is "tRNA-Trp". It matches the Rfam family "tRNA". From Rfam's summary of the family: Transfer RNA (tRNA) molecules are approximately 80 nucleotides in length. Their secondary structure includes four short double-helical elements and three loops (D, anti-codon, and T loops). The record is from RNAcentral. Lineage: Bacteria; Bacillati; Bacillota; Tissierellia.
AGGGGAUUAGUUCAGGGGUAGAACGUUGGUCUCCAAAACCAAAUGCCAGGGGUUCAAAUCCUCUAUCCCCUGCCA